Molecule: unclassified non-coding RNA, 2513 nt
Filed under: Leishmania donovani
Lineage: Eukaryota; Euglenozoa; Kinetoplastea; Trypanosomatida; Trypanosomatidae
Description: gene:LdHU3.16.1650(CDS-product:cytochrome_c_putat ive)
Source: RNAcentral
CCUCACCCAGUCUCCGCUGCUCUUAGCCCCCUCUCUCUCACAGGCACUCUCCCUCGCUCUCGCUUGGGCACACACGCACGCGCACACGCCGCCCCUGCUCCUCUCCACACAAGCCUUGCACACGCAAUACACCGCACUCAUCAUGCCGCCGAAGGCUCGUGCCCCUCUGCCGCCUGGCGACGUGGAGCGCGGCGAGAAGCUGUUCAAGGGCCGUGCUGCCCAGUGCCACACCGCCACCAAGGGCGGCGCGAACGGUGUGGGCCCGAACCUGUUCGGCAUCGUCCACCGCCCCUCCGGCAAGGUCGAGGGCUUCACGUACAGCAAGGCGAACGCCGAGUCAGGCGUAGUCUGGACGCCGGAAGUGCUGGACGUGUACCUGGAGAACCCGAAGAAGUUUAUGCCUGGCACGAAGAUGUCGUUUGCCGGCAUCAAGAAGCCGCAGGAGCGCGCUGACGUGAUCGCGUACCUCGAGACUCUCAAGUAAGACGAGGACACCGCAUUCGCCAUCAGGAGCCGAGAGCGUAGAAUCAUCCUCAAGGAGCCACGUCCGCGGCCACGGCGGUGGCACGGCCGCUUUCUGGCCUUCUUCUUGGCCUAAUGUGCCGUAAACUACACCUGCGGCUCUCUCGCUAUUUCCUGCAUCAGCCUCCACCGCAAUGUGACGGCUGUGCAGAGCCUUCCGAUGCAUGGAGUAGAGCAAGUCUAUAUGUGUGCGCGCAUCUGUAUUAUACGCGCGUGCGCGUGGUUACGCCUCCGCACUGGUCUAUACACCAUGUGUGUCUGUGUCUGUCUGCCUGUCGCUGUGUGUGUGAUGUCUGUUCCGCCUCGUCCUCUCGCUCGCUCAACACGGGCGGUUGUGUAAGCGAUGCACAGUUCUUUGCGCACACACCGAUACGCACAGGCGCGCGUGGAAAGAAGGAGAGUCGAAAAAAAGGGUGAGUGGGGGGUAGGCGAGGGAGAAAGGAUAGUGGAAGCGACGUGACGUGUUUGGGCGGGGGAAAGACACAAGCUCAUGCACACAAGCGCAUACACGCACACACACACACAGCCCGCAUCGCCUUGCUUUCUUUUUGCUCUCCUACCACUCCCUCCUUGAGGGCCCCCCCUCCUCCUUCCCACCCUCCCUCGUACCCCUCUUUUCCUCUUCCUCUCUCUGUUGGUCCGGCGUCCGUCACGCAUGCGCAACUCCCGCCGUAUGAGGCUUUAAGUAAUGAACGUCAGCUAACCCAAGAAGGGUUGAAGGUGGAAAGAAAGGGGCGAUGAAAGGCGAACGCCACCAGCAAGAGCGGAGCGGCAGGGUUGCCGCCUCAACGUAGCACAAGAGAAGACGGAAGAUGACAAGAGUGAGGCUUGGCGUAGCGCACCCACGGAAACAGGGACAUGCACGUAAGGCUGAGCUGAAAAAGCGGGUACGUGUGCGUGCGUCAGGACAAGGGUGAAGUCAAAGAAGAGAGAAAGGCGUCGUUGUGUUGUCCUCACUUGGACUGCAGCCGCAAGCACGUUGUUGUCGGCCAUGCCGGUCUCCAAUCCUCUCUCUACCCUCCGGGGCCCCUUUCUCUGUCCUUUGCACUCGAUAUUCUCGUUAGUCGGAAGAGUUGAGCGCCGGUCGGGGUUGCUGUUGCGGCGGUGGUCCGCCUCGACCACCAUCGUGCACCCAGCUCCUUUCCGUGUCACGCCUCGCCUGUGUCGUGGGCCUGCUGUGCGCUCAUGUCGCUCACCUCCUUCUUCGUGUUGCCCCUCCCCCUCCCCUCCUCCCUCCUCUCAGCCAUUUUCUAUUGGAUUAUCCUUUUGUUUCGCUCCCUUGUGUGCACGUCAGCCUGCGUACCGGACUUCGCGGCCACCCCUGCCAUUCUCACAUCGUCACUCACCAUCAGCGAGGCAACGCGCAAGUGCGCCCGUUCCCGAGCAUCGCUCUCGCUUCCACAUGUACGUGCGUGUCAGGUGUAUUGUGUGCGGUUCCCUGCUUAUCUAGCUGCCUCUCACGAGACCUUCCGUGUGCAUCGUCAUCUCGUCCGCCUUUCCUGUUUCUUGUUCGCCUUACUUUAUGUGUUGCGAGAAGAAGUACAUGCACGCACCACCGUCACCCACCUACCCACCCACCCUCCCGCGUGCUUCUCUCUGUCUCUGUCUCUUUCGCCCACUCCCCGUCCCCACCCCUCCUCCGCCUGUGUCUCGCGGCGCAUGUUCCUGAGAAAGCGAGCUCGAGCAAACAGAGAAAGAGCGAGCGAGCCUGGUGUCCGUCAGCUUCUGGUGCUUCCCGCCUCCCCCCCCCUCCUCCUCUCUCCCCCUCCUACACCUGUCACCCUUCUUUCGUCGCUGUUGAUAUUUCCCUUCCUCGCUCACCGCCUUAGUAGUCGUUAGUCCCUUAUUCCUCGGAUUCUUUGAUUGGGUCGCGUUGCGUUCUUUUUUUUUUGCGUGUAGCUCGGCUCGUCUCUCGCCGUGUGUCCUCGACGCGUGGGUGCGUGGCACUCCCUCCACGCCCCUCUUCGUGUGUCCUCUCCCGAUACGUGCUC